This 36-nucleotide ribosomal RNA is filed under the name Ficus hispida. RNAcentral's name for it is "partial 18S ribosomal RNA". The record is from RNAcentral. Lineage: Eukaryota; Viridiplantae; Streptophyta; Magnoliopsida; Rosales; Moraceae.
AUUGUUGAGACCUGCCCAGCAGAAAGACCCGUGAAC